This 201-nucleotide ribosomal RNA is filed under the name uncultured bacterium. RNAcentral's name for it is "partial 16S ribosomal RNA". It matches the Rfam family "Bacterial small subunit ribosomal RNA", at positions 335 to 527 of the family's 1533-position model. The record is from RNAcentral.
ACUCCUACGGGAGGCAGCAGUAGGGAAUCUUCGGCAAUGGACGAAAGUCUGACCGAGCAACGCCGCGUGAGUGAAGAAGGUUUUCGGAUCGUAAAACUCUGUUGGUAGAGAAGAACGUUGGUGAGAGUGGAAAGCUCAUCAAGUGACGGUAACUACCCAGAAAGGGACGGCUAACUACGUGCCAGCAGCCGCGGUAAUACA